Molecule: unclassified non-coding RNA, 280 nt
Filed under: Hevea brasiliensis (rubber tree)
Lineage: Eukaryota; Viridiplantae; Streptophyta; Magnoliopsida; Malpighiales; Euphorbiaceae
Source: RNAcentral
ACAGCUCUUUCCCCACUUUUUUUCCUCUUUUGCCCUUCUAUGUCAAUUACUUUGUUAUUCAUCUUGUUGGAGAACUGACAUUGACAAAUCAAUCUAUUUCUUCUUGGUCAAAACGUCAUCUUUCCAUCUCUUAUGAAAAGAAACGAACAUAGCAGGCCUCAAAAUCAUAUGAACUGAAAUUCAGUUCUGAGUUCGAACAAACAGUAUGUAGCUUCCUUCAGUAAAAGCUUCCAACAUUCUUCAAUAGACCCGAAUGACUCAUACUACGACUACCUUUCAG